AUACGAAAGGUGCAAGCGUUGUUCGGAUUUACUGGGCGUAAAGAGAGUGUAGGUUGUUUAUUAAGUCGGAUGUGAAAUCCCGGGGCUCAACCUCGGAACUGCAUUCGAUACUGGUAGACUAGAGUUCGGGAGGGGUAAGCGGAAUUCCGUGUGUAGCAGUGAAAUGCGUAGAUAUACGGAGGAACACCUAAGGCGAAGGCGGCUUACUGGACCGAUACUGACACUGAGACUCGAAAGCGUGGGUAGCAAACAGGAUUAGAUACCCUUGUAGUCC
RNAcentral lists this ribosomal RNA (274 nucleotides) under uncultured bacterium. Its description in RNAcentral is "partial 16S ribosomal RNA". It matches the Rfam family "Bacterial small subunit ribosomal RNA", at positions 523 to 796 of the family's 1533-position model. The record is from RNAcentral.